This 253-nucleotide ribosomal RNA is filed under the name uncultured bacterium. Its description in RNAcentral is "partial 16S ribosomal RNA". It matches the Rfam family "Bacterial small subunit ribosomal RNA", at positions 524 to 776 of the family's 1533-position model. The record is from RNAcentral.
UACAGAGGGUGCGAGCGUUAAUCGGAAUUACUGGGCGUAAAGGGUGCGUAGGUGGUUAUGUAAGUUAGGUGUGAAAUCCCUGGGCUCAACCUGGGAAUUGCGCUUAAAACUGCAUGGCUAGAGUAUUGUAGAGGAAAGUGGAAUUUCCGGUGUAGCGGUGAAAUGCGUAGAUAUCGGAAGGAACACCAGUGGCGAAGGCGGCUUUCUGGACAAAUACUGACACUGAGGUACGAAAGCGUGGGUAGCGAACAGG